Long non-coding RNA from Melitaea cinxia (Glanville fritillary), 459 nucleotides. RefSeq lists it as uncharacterized. NCBI's taxonomy places the organism in Eukaryota, Metazoa, Arthropoda, Insecta, Lepidoptera, Nymphalidae. The transcript has 2 exons. The record is from RefSeq and is a predicted model, not a curated record.
UCAUCUUCAAUUAUUCCCUCUCCUUCACCAUCACCCACUUCAGUUACAUUUCCUCUCACAUCUCCGCAAUACGAAUAUAAUGAAAAUUCCCUGAACCAUCCAAAGAUAUAUAUAAAACGCCGCCCUAAACCUUCAAGUACUUCCAUUGAUACCCAACAAUCUGCUGCUUCACCAUCAUCAGCAAACAGUCCACCUAACUUUGGUACAAUAAGUCAAGAUGACCGUCGUCAUCAUGAAGAAUUAUCAAGAAACAUGUCCCCACUGCCUCCAUCAUCAGGAAACACAUCACAUUCUCUGAACCAUCCAAAAAUUAUUAUAAAACGCCCCCCUAAAACCUCAAGUACUCCCAUUGGAUCUCAACAAUAUGUUGUUUCACCAUUGUUUGCAAACAGUCCACAAAUAAAUAAUAGCGUAGGUGCAAUAUCCCAAGAUGACAAUCUUGAAUAUGUUAAUAACAAA